Molecule: ribosomal RNA, 539 nt
Filed under: Escherichia coli
Lineage: Bacteria; Pseudomonadati; Pseudomonadota; Gammaproteobacteria; Enterobacterales; Enterobacteriaceae
Description: bacterial SSU rRNA
Rfam family: Bacterial small subunit ribosomal RNA
Source: RNAcentral
GGUGAGUAAUGUCUGGGAAACUGCCUGAUGGAGGGGGAUAACUACUGGAAACGGUAGCUAAUACCGCAUAACGUCGCAAGACCAAAGAGGGGGACCUUCGGGCCUCUUGCCAUCGGAUGUGCCCAGAUGGGAUUAGCUAGUAGGUGGGGUAACGGCUCACCUAGGCGACGAUCCCUAGCUGGUCUGAGAGGAUGACCAGCCACACUGGAACUGAGACACGGUCCAGACUCCUACGGGAGGCAGCAGUGGGGAAUAUUGCACAAUGGGCGCAAGCCUGAUGCAGCCAUGCCGCGUGUAUGAAGAAGGCCUUCGGGUUGUAAAGUACUUUCAGCGGGGAGGAAGGGAGUAAAGUUAAUACCUUUGCUCAUUGACGUUACCCGCAGAAGAAGCACCGGCUAACUCCGUGCCAGCAGCCGCGGUAAUACGGAGGGUGCAAGCGUUAAUCGGAAUUACUGGGCGUAAAGCGCACGCAGGCGGUUUGUUAAGUCAGAUGUGAAAUCCCCGGGCUCAACCUGGGAACUGCAUCUGAUACUGGCAAG